AAUUCCCUGCUCCGCAGGUGAGUCGAUAUUUUUUUUGAGCCAACACUUCGUGGACGGGAACCUGACGCACGGUUUGAUGUCAUGACUCCGAAACGGGUUGAGACAGAGAAUCGUGCCGUGGUGCCCACCUGGUGAUCCAGGCCCAGGAAGAACUCGACUCACGGCGCGGCGGGGAAUUU
This 179-nucleotide non-coding RNA is filed under the name Candidatus Latescibacterota bacterium. RNAcentral describes it as "Candidatus Latescibacteria bacterium 6S RNA". It matches the Rfam family "6S / SsrS RNA". Rfam says of the family: E. coli 6S RNA was the first non coding RNA to be sequenced, but its function was unknown until recently. Lineage: Bacteria; Pseudomonadati; Candidatus Latescibacterota. The record is from RNAcentral.